GGGGCGAAAGACUAAUCGAACCAUCGAGUAGCUGGUUCCCUCCGAAGUUUCCCCUCAGGAUAGCUGGAACUUAUGAGAAAGUAGUUUUAUCAGGUAAAGCGAAUGAUUAGAGGUUUUGGGGAAGAAACUUCCUCGACCUAUUCUCAAACUUUAAAUAGGUAAGAUUUGAAGGAUACUUAAGUGAUCUUUCAAUCUCUUGAAUAUAAAGUUCUUAGUGGGCCAUUUUUGGUAAGCAGAACUGGCGAUGUGGGAUGAACCGAACGUUAAGUUAAAGUGCCAAAUAAUACGCUCAUGAGAUACCAUAAAAGGUGUUGGUUCAUUUUGACAGCAGGACGGUGGCCAUGGAAGUCGGAACCCGCUAAGGAGUGUGUAACAACUCACCUGCCGAAUGAACUAGCCCUGAAAAUGGAUGGCGCUUAAGCGUACAACUUAUACUUAACCCUUACUUGAAUUAUUAUAGCGAGUAAGGAGUAGGAGGG
RNAcentral lists this ribosomal RNA (479 nucleotides) under uncultured eukaryote. RNAcentral's name for it is "eukaryotic LSU rRNA". It matches the Rfam family "Eukaryotic large subunit ribosomal RNA", at positions 920 to 1389 of the family's 3401-position model. The record is from RNAcentral.